RNAcentral lists this ribosomal RNA (389 nucleotides) under uncultured bacterium. RNAcentral's name for it is "bacterial SSU rRNA". It matches the Rfam family "Bacterial small subunit ribosomal RNA", at positions 28 to 417 of the family's 1533-position model. The record is from RNAcentral.
GACGAACGCUGGCGGCGUGCUUAACACAUGCAAGUCGAGCGGUAAGGCCCUUUCGGGGGUACACGAGCGGCGAACGGGUGAGUAACACGUGGGUGACCUGCCCUCAGCUCUGGGAUAAGCCCGGGAAACUGGGUCUAAUACUGGAUAUGACUCCAUGACGCAUGCUGUGGGGUGGAAAGCCUUGUGCGGCUGGGGAUGGGCCCGCGGCCUAUCAGCUUGUUGGUGGGGNGAUGGCCUACCAAGGCGACGACGGGUAGCCGGCCUGAGAGGGCGACCGGGCCACACUGGGACUGAGACACGGCCCAGACUCCUACGGGAGGCAGCAGUGGGGAAUCUUGCGCAAUGGGCGAAAGCCUGACGCAGCGACGCCGCGUGAGGGAUGACGGCCU